CAUCGGUAAAUCGUAUUAUUUUAUGUAUUAAAUUUAUCUGGAAUAUACUUGUAUAGUUAUUCACACAAAUUUAUUGCAGUAUCAGAAGCAUAAGAAAUGUUCGGAAUACGGCGUACGUUGAGUAUAUAAAAAAAUUUUCUCUUGUUUAUAAGUGCGUCUGCGCAUGCGCGAAAAAUGGAUAAAUAGCGUGAAAUAUUGCUUCCUGUGCUCAUUCUGCUGUGACCUCUAGAGGCGGCCACAUGGUAUCAGAAGUAAACUAGAGAUUCAGAAUACUGUGCAAGUUGAGUUUAUAAAAGAAUUUUCUCUUGUUUAUAAGUGCGUCUGCGCAUGCGCGAAAAAUGGAUAAAUAGCGUGAAAUAUUGCUUCCUGUGCUCAUUCUGCUGUGACCUCUAGAGGCGGCCACAUGGUAUCAGAAGUAAACUAGAGAUUCAGAAUACUGUGCAAGUUGAGUUUAUAAAAGAAUUUUCUCUGGUUUAUAAGUGUCGUCCCCUCAUGCGCAAAAAAUGGAUAAAUAGCGUCAAAUAUUGCCUCCUGUUCUCCUUCUGCUGUGACCUCUAGAGGCGGCCACAUCGUAUCAGAAGCAUAAUAAAUGUUCAGAAUACUGUGCAAGUUGAGUUUAUAAAAAAAUUUUCUCUGGUUUCUAAGUGUCGUCUGCGCAUGCAAGAAGAAAAUGUAUGAAGAGUAUGUAAUAUUGGUUCCUGCGCUCAUUCUGAAUUGACCUGUGGAAGCGGACAAAUCUUAUCAGAAGCAUAAUAAAUGUUCGGAAUACUGCGUACGUUGAGUAUAUAAAAAAAUUUUCUCUUGUUUAUAAGUGCGUCUGCUCAUGCGCGAAAAAUGGAUAAAUAGCGUGAAAUAUUGCUUCCUGUGCUCAUUCUGCUGUGACCUCUAGAGGCGACCACAUCGGUAAAUCGUAUUAUUUUAUGUAUUAAAUUUAUCUGGAAUAUACUUUUAUAGUUAUUCACACAAAUUUAUUACAGUAUCAGAAGCAUAAGAAAUGUUCGGAAUACGGCGUACGUUGAGUAUAUAAAAAAAAUGUUCUCUUGUUUAUAAGUUUCGUCUGUGCAUGCGCCAAAAAAGGGAUAAAUAGCGUCAAAUAUUGCCUCCUGUUCUCCUUCUGCUGUGACCUCUAGAGGCGGCCACAUCGGUAAAUCCUAUUAUUUUGAAUAUUAAGUUUAUAUGGAAUAUACUUUUAUAGUUAUUCACACAAAUGUAAUGCAGGAUCAGAAGCAUAAUAAAUGUUCAGAAUACUGCGUACGUUGGGUAUAUAAAAAAAUUUUCUCUUGUUUAUAAGUGAUUGUGAUUGAUAAAUAGCGUCAAAUAUUGCCUCCUGUGCUCAUUCUGCUGUGACCUCUAGAAGCGGUCACAUAUAAAUCCUAUUAUUUUGAAUAUUAGUGUCGUCCCCUCAUGCGCAAAAAAUGGAUAAAUAGCGUCAAAUAUUGCCUCCUGUGCUCAUUCUGAUGUGACCUCUAGAAGCGGUCACAUAUAAAUCCUGUUAUUUAGAAUAUUAAAUUUAUCUGGAAUAUACUUUUAUAGUUAUUCACACAAAUUUAAUGCAGGAUCAGAAGCAUAAUAAAUGUUCGGAAUACUGCGUACGU
This is a long non-coding RNA of Nasonia vitripennis (jewel wasp), 1595 nucleotides long. RefSeq lists it as uncharacterized. The transcript has 5 exons. The record is from RefSeq and is a predicted model, not a curated record. NCBI's taxonomy places the organism in Eukaryota, Metazoa, Arthropoda, Insecta, Hymenoptera, Pteromalidae.